This 253-nucleotide ribosomal RNA is filed under the name uncultured bacterium. RNAcentral's name for it is "partial 16S ribosomal RNA". It matches the Rfam family "Bacterial small subunit ribosomal RNA", at positions 524 to 776 of the family's 1533-position model. The record is from RNAcentral.
UACGGGGGGGGCAAGCGUUGUUCGGAAUUACUGGGCGUAAAGGGCUCGUAGGCGGCCAACUAAGUCAGACGUGAAAUCCCUCGGCUUAACCGGGGAACUGCGUCUGAUACUGGAUGGCUCGAGUUUGGGAGAGGGAUGCGGAAUUCCAGGUGUAGCGGUGAAAUGCGUAGAUAUCCGGAGGAACACCAGUGGCGAAGGCGACUUCCUGGCCUGUUCUUGACGCUGAGGCGCGAAAGCUGGGGGAGCAAACGGG